RNAcentral lists this ribosomal RNA (419 nucleotides) under bacterium. Its description in RNAcentral is "partial 16S ribosomal RNA". It matches the Rfam family "Bacterial small subunit ribosomal RNA", at positions 355 to 776 of the family's 1533-position model. The record is from RNAcentral.
UGGGGGAUAUUGCACAAUGGGCGCAAGCCUGAUGCAGCGACGCCGCGUGGGGGAUGAAGGCCUUCGGGUUGUAAACUUCUUUUGCUCUGAACAAGGCGCACUUUGGGGUGUGUUGAGUGUAGGGGUUGAUUAGCGCCGGCUAACUACGUGCCAGCAGCUGCGGUAAUACGUAGGGCGCGAGCGUUGUCCGGAAUUAUUGGGCGUAAAGGGCUUGUAGGUGGCUGGUUGCGUCUGUCGUGAAAGCUCAUGGCUUAACUGUGGGUUUGCGGUGGGUACGGGCUGGCUUGAGUGCAGUAGGGGAGGCUGGAAUUCCUGGUGUAGCGGUGGAAUGCGCAGAUAUCAGGAGGAAUACCGGUGGCGAAGGCGGGUCUCUGGGCUGUUACUGACACUGAGGAGCGAAAGCAUGGGGAGCGAACAGG